CACAUUUUAAUCAUACAUUCAUCAAAAUAUUGUUCAAAUUUUGACAAAUAAAUAAGACUGAAACAGAUAAUUCUAUAAUAAUACACAAUAUAAUCAAACCUAUGCUGGUCGAACGUUCGAUUAAUAGCCAAUGCCAGAGAUCUAAUUUACAAAGGGAACGGGGGUGGGGGGGGGGGUGGAGAACUGGAAUCCAGGUUGAAUAUUGCAUCUGUAGGCAGCCAUUAGUAGGGUUCCAGAUUAACAUCAAGAGGAUAUUUUGGUAAUUGCACAAACUGAAGACAUGUCUGGGAACUUGUUGCAACAAGUGAGCAAGGCCCAAGAAACAAUUGUCGUUCACUGCAUAAUCUCGAGCUUGACAAAACCCUAAAUCUGCUGACUACAAGUAGAAAACUUGUCAUUAAUUUUUGCAAAACAAAAUAUUGAGAUAUAUUAAGACCCUCAACAGAAAUAAGCAAACCUUAACAGUAAUUGUGAGUAAGAUCAAGCUAAUCAUAGUUACAUACAAAAUCAGCACAAAAACUGCAGCCUUAAACCCUACUUAAGGAAUUUGUAGAGCAGAAUGAAGCGUACCUUUGUUCAGGUAGUUGAAGUUCUUCAGAGCAUAAAAGUAACAGACUAUAAUUAAGCAAAAUGAAACCUUGAUUGAUUACUAAACAGAACUAAAAUAUAAAGUGAACUUAAGCAGUACAGGAUAAGAAAACAGUGGAAGGGAGCUCCCUUCAGUCCAAGUACAGAAAGCUUAAGAUUCAACUUGACUCUCGCAUCAUUCACUCAGUUACCGUGUAAAACUCAUCAACUACACAGCAUUUGGAUGAAUGAGUCAACAGCAAAUUGAAUCCUACGGCCUCCCAUAACUGGACUGAAGAAAGCUCUCUUCUAAAGUCGCGUCAUCAAUAUUCAAUAAAAUGGAAGUUUAAAAAUUUCAAGCAUCUCUCCAUGGAAUAAAAAUGAAAAAUUGGACACAGUCAAAAACACAUAAAAAAAUCUUAG
Molecule: long non-coding RNA, 990 nt
Filed under: Olea europaea subsp. europaea
Lineage: Eukaryota; Viridiplantae; Streptophyta; Magnoliopsida; Lamiales; Oleaceae
Rfam family: MIR159 microRNA precursor family (bases 699-886)
Source: RNAcentral